Molecule: RNA transcript, 1000 nt
Organism: Phycodurus eques (leafy seadragon)
Lineage: Eukaryota; Metazoa; Chordata; Actinopteri; Syngnathiformes; Syngnathidae
Gene: phpt1
Gene name: phosphohistidine phosphatase 1
Exons: 4
Source: RefSeq, a predicted model, not a curated record
CAGCCAUACUUGUAGUGGGAGCAAACUAGAGAGUGUUAUAUGCUUGUAUGUUUACAUUGUGCAUUUACACGGGCCGAAACGGAUUUUGCUGUUAAAUUACAAACCAUUUAGUUUGUUAUCGAGUUGCGUGGAGAUGUGCACCCAAACGAAAGCGGCUGUCCGCAUGGUAAACAUCCCGCAGGCAGACAUCGAUCCUUCCGGCGUGUUUAAGUACGUCCUCAUCAGGGUGCACAGCAGAGAGGAAGAAGACGACACGGAAGUAGAUAUCGUCCGUGGAUACGGCUGGGGAGAAUACCACGCGGAUAUCUACGACAAGGUUUCUGAAGAGCUCGAGAAGGAUGGACUACUGGACUGCGAGUGUAUCGGAGGAGGUAGGAUCAGACAUGAUGCCCAGGCUAAGAAGAUCCAUGUUUACGGCUACUCUAUGGGGUUCGGAAGAGCAAACCACGCAAUAACCACUGAGAAACUGAAGGUCCAGUAUCCAGACUAUGAGGUGACCUGGGAUAACGAAGGAUACUGAAAUGAACUGCAACCAAAAUAUGAUAGACAUCCCUUCGCUUCAUUGGAGUUUAACACCAUCAUCAGAGACCGUUUUCAUCAGCAGCUUUUUCGCGAUUAGUCUGAGGUGUACCACGGCCUCUUGCCUGAAGUCAGCUGGGAUAGGCUCAAACACACCCACGACACCAAUGAGGAUCAGAAAAUGGAUGGAUGGAUGGAAGUCUCGUCUUACCUUUUUGUGCCACAUGAUGGCAGUAGUGACAUUUAAAGAUAAGAUUAGGCAAUGGAUUAUUUAAUAAAAAUACUGCUUCAGUAUGGACAUGGAAAGUCAAUAUAUUGAACAUAGUUUUAUAUACAUACCAAUUUGAUUGUCAUUCAAAUUGAGCUUUAUUGUCCUGGACAAGGCAGCAUUUUUGAUGCAGCUCUUGUAUUGGAUCUCAUUGUAUGGUGCUCAUGUACUGUAACUAAUGUGGACACUUGAUUGCAUAUCAAAUAAAUUGAC